This 253-nucleotide ribosomal RNA is filed under the name uncultured bacterium. Its description in RNAcentral is "partial 16S ribosomal RNA". It matches the Rfam family "Bacterial small subunit ribosomal RNA", at positions 524 to 776 of the family's 1533-position model. The record is from RNAcentral.
UACGUAGGGGGCAAGCGUUGUCCGGAUUUAUUGGGCGUAAAGAGCUCGUAGGCGGUCUGUCGCGUCGGAUGUGAAAACUCGGGGCUCAACCCCGAGCCUGCAUUCGAUACGGGCAGACUAGAGUUCGGUAGGGGAGACUGGAAUUCCUGGUGUAGCGGUGAAAUGCGCAGAUAUCAGGAGGAACACCGGUGGCGAAGGCGGGUCUCUGGGCCGAUACUGACGCUGAGGGGCGAAAGCGUGGGGAGCGAACAGG